RNAcentral lists this ribosomal RNA (424 nucleotides) under Funneliformis mosseae. RNAcentral's name for it is "eukaryotic LSU rRNA". It matches the Rfam family "Eukaryotic large subunit ribosomal RNA", at positions 348 to 637 of the family's 3401-position model. Lineage: Eukaryota; Fungi; Glomeromycota; Glomeromycetes; Glomerales; Glomeraceae. The record is from RNAcentral.
GUACCGUGAGGGAAAGAUGAAAAGAACUUUGAAAAGAGAGUUAAACAGUACGUGAAAUUGUUGAAAGGGAAACGAUUGAAGUCAGUCAUACCAACGGGAAAUCAACCUUUUGAGCUCGGUCUCGUGGGUUUUGAAGAGUUUCAAAGCCUUCGGAUUCGCGGGAUUGGGAUCUCUCGGCGUACUUUUUCGUACGGUUAGUCAACAUCGGUUUUGAAUGUCAUAAAAUGACUGGAGGAAUGUGGCUUCGAUCUCGUAUUGAAGUGUUAUAGCCUUUGGUAGAUGUGAUGUUUGAGACCGAGGAUUGCAACGGAUACCCUUCAGGGCUAUUCGUCUGAUCUCUGAUACGUUGCCUUGAUGUUGAAAGCUUGCUUAUGAUGUUAGGGUAUUACGGUCAAAAGGUUAGAACGAAUUACAUUCGUUAAGG